GGAUCUAUGGUGUAUCGGUUAGCAUUUCGGGCUAAUACAUACCACAAUCGGUGGGUAUUGGAACCUGACGAGCCUGGUUCAAUUCCAGGUAGAUCCA
Molecule: transfer RNA, 97 nt
Rfam family: tRNA
About the family: Transfer RNA (tRNA) molecules are approximately 80 nucleotides in length. Their secondary structure includes four short double-helical elements and three loops (D, anti-codon, and T loops).
Source: Rfam